AGAAUCAACGCUGGCGGCGUGCCUAACACAUGCAAGUCGCACGAGAAAGGGUAGCAAUACCUGAGUACAGUGGCGCACGGGUGAGUAACACGUGAAUAAUCUACCUCCGAGUGGGGAAUAACUGAGAGAAAUCUUAGCUAAUACCGCAUAAUACCCACGGGUCAAAGCAGCAAUGCGCUUGGAGAGGAGUUCGCGGCAGAUUAGUUAGUUGGCGGGGUAAUGGCCCACCAAGACGAUGAUCUGUAUCCGGCCUGAGAGGGCGCACGGACACACUGGAACUGAAACACGGUCCAGACUCCUACGGGAGGCAGCAGUGGGGAAUUUUGCGCAAUGGGGGAAACCCUGACGCAGCAACGCCGCGUGGAGGAUGAAGCCCCUUGGGGUGUAAACUCCUUUCGAUCGGGAAGAUAAUGACGGUACCGAUAUAAGAAGCCCGGCUAACUUCGCGCCAGCAGCCG
Molecule: ribosomal RNA, 458 nt
Filed under: uncultured bacterium
Lineage: Bacteria
Description: SSU rRNA
Rfam family: Bacterial small subunit ribosomal RNA
Source: RNAcentral